CCGGGCGCUGUGGCGCGCGCCUGUAAUCCCAGCUACUUGGGAGGCUGAGGCUGGAGGAUCGCUUGAGCUCAGGAGUUCUGGGCUGCAGUGCGCUAUGCCGAUCGGGUGUCCGCACUAAGUUCGGCAUCAAUAUGGUGACCUCCCGGAAGCGGGGGACCACCAGGUUGCCUAAGGAGGGGUGAACCGACCCAGGUCGGAAACGGAGCGGAGUGUAGGGAUAGCGUGGUGGUGGGG
Long non-coding RNA from Cervus elaphus (red deer), 234 nucleotides. RefSeq lists it as uncharacterized. NCBI's taxonomy places the organism in Eukaryota, Metazoa, Chordata, Mammalia, Artiodactyla, Cervidae. The record is from RefSeq and is a predicted model, not a curated record. The transcript is spliced from 4 exons.